Molecule: non-coding RNA, 73 nt
Organism: Stegodyphus mimosarum
Lineage: Eukaryota; Metazoa; Arthropoda; Arachnida; Araneae; Eresidae
Source: Rfam
GCCUUCGUGGUAUAAUGGUCAGCACACUCGGCGCGUAUUCGAGAGGUCCUAGGUUCAAGUCCCGGCGAGGGCG